Molecule: long non-coding RNA, 346 nt
Organism: Panicum virgatum (switchgrass)
Lineage: Eukaryota; Viridiplantae; Streptophyta; Magnoliopsida; Poales; Poaceae
Exons: 4
Source: RefSeq, a predicted model, not a curated record
GGGGCAACUUGCGGAGUUCCGCUCCUACGAGGGGCAGGAAAUGCAGAUCAAGGAGAAGAUUGUGCCUCUCAAGAUUGACCUCCGAGUGAACAACACUGUAAUAAGAGACAAGUUCUUUUGGGAUAUUGGCAACCUUGAUAGUGACCCUGAGGAAUUUGCGAGGACGCUAUGUGACGAUUUGAACAUCGCAGAUCCUGAAGUUGGGCUUGUUUUGGUCCAAUUGUUGAUUUGACGAGUACUCUACAUGUUAUUCUUCAUUUAAGGUACUUCUGAACGAUGUUCUUGUUGUGAACUUUUAUUUCCGUGCAAUAUAUGACUAUAGUUUAUAAAUACAUCGCCACACCUA